UGCAGUUUGAAUGUGUGUUGGGAGUGAAAUCCAGAGGGAGGUAGUGGCUAUGGUGAAGGCUCUGCCCCCCAGGUUCCUUUAAUACAUCUUGGCUUUUGGAAAUAGUAAUAUAAGAUAUUGUGCGUGAGUGGGAGGGUCUCUGUGAACCUCACGUGUCAUGUAAUGCACUCUAGUCCCUGCUGUUCCACAUCCUGCCUGAGAAAAAAAACAGGCUACACUCUGCAUCAACUUUGCCUCCCUUUCUUUUCCCACUCCCUCCCUCUCUCCUGAACGUGUGUGUGCAGACAGACAGACAGAUGGAUUUUGUGAUAAUGUCCCAUCAUCCACUGCUUAACAUGACUCAUCAUUUGCAACACAAAGGAUCUUGCAAUUCAGGACAUGUAUUUCAUCAUUACCUGAAAAAAACACACCCAUGUGCCAUUUUAGAUUCGCAAAACUCUUGUCUAUUUUUUUGCCAUUACAAUUCCUUUGUUUACUCCUUGAACAUAUUUCCUGACACUGUAGCUAAUUUGCAAAAUAAGAGAACAAUUGAGCAGGGACAUGAAGCUUCAAUUUGUUUUUCUCUGUGCUCUUGUAAUUGGAGAUGAGAGAACAUGGCUCAUGUGGAACAACAUGUGGAGACGGCACCUUGGGAGACGCAUGCUCUUGCCAUACUUCAGUGCAGUGUUUAUGCUGAAACUAAGGGCUGUAUUCCACUCCGAAUUUUGCUAGCCCCUCAACUCAUAAACAUGUUUACACAUCCCUGCCCCCUCCUCCUGUCUCUCAUUUCCUCUCUGUUGUCAGGCACUACCUUUCUAAACCACUCCUCCUCACUGUACCACGGUUUCCCGACUAAAACACUCAUAUGUCCCUCAUUUUUUCCUGUCUUUCUCUCCUCUUUUUACCUGAAAUCCUCUCUAAACAUGCUCCCUAAAUUGUCUGCAGUAAAAGCAACAGAGAAGUUGAAUGGUGAAUGGUGAAUGAACCAGAUAUCUUCCUGUUGGUAAUGCUUCCUGGAUCUACAGCACGUUGUGUUCGGACCAGUCAACAGCUCUGUUACAGCCUGACCCUGCCAAACACUACCAUCAUCAGGAGGCUGGGAUAAAAACAGAAACAGAUGGUGUGUGUUUGAGUUGGUAGAGGAGAGAGACAGAUAGUAUAUAAAUGAUUCUUUUUGGAGCUGACACUGAUGAAACCAUGUCCACAUUAAAACUCAAGUUUGGGACUAAUAUUUCACAGUCAUCAGUGGGAGUUUCCUAAGUUUCCACAUGCCCCAGCAGUGUGCCUCUAUACCUUCAGAGACUUGACCCACUUAUGUAGGUUAAAUAACUGGGGACUUAAAGUUAUAAUGUUACAGGUCUACAUAUAGAAAUGGCAGUCUAUGAACCCUCCACUGAGCAGAGUUUUAACCUAUUCCAAAUAACAGAAAGACCUGUAUUAAGUAAGAUAUUAUUUGGGAUAAUUGGUUACUUCAACGCCUGUGGUAGGCUACUUGUGAGGAAAAGAGCAAUAAAUCUGUUUCUUAUGCAUUCAUAUUCUUUGAAAUCCAAAUAGAGGUCAGAUAGAGUGCCAUAUCAUUUACAAGCAUAAUAACCGACCUUAAUUUGAAUACCAUUUGCCAGUACGCUGUUUGCUCCAAAGAAUAUUAUUUUGUGAUUUCCAAAAUUAGUCUCAAAAAGCCUUCUUUUUGAGACUAAACCUUCAAUUUUUAUCACAUUUUUCCAAAAGAAGCUCUCCCCAAAUGUGUAAAGACUGGAUAUAAACAUAGAGGUGUACAAAACAAGCAUAAAAGUGGAAGAGCGUGUUCCUUAAGUCAACUGCCACUGCAUUUGGAUGUUUACCUUUUUCUAAAUAGAAAAUGGUGUCAGAGGUGAGAGAAACGGACAGACGGGAAGAACAGACAGAGUGAGGGGAAAAUAGGCUGCGCAUACACCGGAGUGGGGGUUGGGGUAGGGGUGAACAAAGGAAGUAAACAGCUGUGUUUUUAGGCAUAUCAUCAGGUGUUCUCUAUAAUCACUAUUGAUCAUUUACAAUCACUUUGUUUCUAUACCAGCGACUCAAUUUAAUCAGUCUUCUUUUUAUGUAAAAGACAUACUUACAACACGCUAAAACAAACAUGAUUUACACCCAAGUACACUUAAAAUUGUCUCUGCCUGAGGUUCACAGCAACCAAA
This is a non-coding RNA of Xyrichtys novacula (pearly razorfish), 2153 nucleotides long. The record is from the annotation of a GenBank genome assembly. Lineage: Eukaryota; Metazoa; Chordata; Actinopteri; Labriformes; Labridae.